GCCCGGAUGGCUCAGUCGGUUGGGCAUCUGACUUCGGCUCAGGUCAUGAUCUCACAGUUCGUGGGUUCGGGCCCCGCGUCGGGCU
Molecule: transfer RNA, 85 nt
Filed under: Felis catus (domestic cat)
Lineage: Eukaryota; Metazoa; Chordata; Mammalia; Carnivora; Felidae
Rfam family: tRNA
About the family: Transfer RNA (tRNA) molecules are approximately 80 nucleotides in length. Their secondary structure includes four short double-helical elements and three loops (D, anti-codon, and T loops).
Source: Rfam by way of RNAcentral